Molecule: non-coding RNA, 3294 nt
Organism: Odocoileus virginianus texanus
Lineage: Eukaryota; Metazoa; Chordata; Mammalia; Artiodactyla; Cervidae
Source: RefSeq, a predicted model, not a curated record
CCGCCGCGUCCGCCCCUCCCGCCGCGUCCGCCCCUAGGGCCACCCAGGGUCAGAACACUUAGCCGUCAAAAGGAUGAACGAUCGGGGUCCCAGCAGCCGGGGCGAAUCUGCAGAGAAUCACGCUGCAUGAAAAUCGCCAAUCCUCGAGGGUUCCCCCGAACGAUCACGUUUAUGUAACAUUCUUGAGAUGAGAUUCUAGAAGCGGAGAACAGCUACUUCUAGCUUGCUGCUGAGUUCCCAAGGAAAAGACUUGGAAGAUGGUUUGGAGGCAUUGUCUUUGCUCAGAGAACAGACUGGCUGGCUGAGUCUUUUCAGGUCUCUUUGGACAUUUCAGGGUGAGCAGAUGUCUUGAGGGUGUCCCUUGUCUCCCUUUGAAGAUCAUCCAAACCCUGAAAUCUCAAGAAGCAAUCUAGUGGCUUUCCUCAAAUGUAGCUAGAAGACAUUGACCCGGGAAGUUUUGUUAGGAAAUUAGCUAUUAUGAUGAUUUCCUUACAAAACCCCUGGUUUCUGAGAACUUUUACUUCCUGUGGUAUUUUGGGAAGACCUACUGCUUGUCAAGAGUCAUUGAUCUUGAUUCCUUAAAAGCUGUGGCUGGAAUUCUAAUGGCAACAUGUAAUGAACUGGCUUUUUCAUUAAUAAAUUGUAAGUGGAUAAUGUCCCAACAAAAUGGUAAUCUAGAGACCAGAUUCAAGUAAAAAACUCUGUGACUAAAUAGGUUUUUGAUGUUAAGUGGCCAGUCAUGCCAUGAAUAAUUGACUCAUUAAAAAACAAGAAUGCAGGCAUCUCAUAUUUUAACUUAUUUUAAAUCAUCGACUCAAGGGACAUGAGUUUGAGCAAACUCCAGGAGAUAGUAAAGGAUAGGGAAGCCUGGCGUGCUGCAGUCCAUGGGAUCGCAAAGAGUGGGGCAUGACUGAGCAACUGAACAAUUCAGCAGUUAGUUGACAACCAAAUACUGACAAAUUCAACAUGCUUUUUGAAAUUACUUUUGCAUGUACUUGGACCCAAGCAAAUCUUAAACUCCCUGUUUCUACCCCAAACCAAUCAGAGUGUUUUUACAUCUGUGGGAAUAGAGAUAUUAGGUUCUCACAGUACACAGUGACCUAUGGUGGGAGAAAGUUUGAUUAAAAAUUAGAAGUAAAGGGCACUUUCAAGACUGUACCUCUGGAAUUGCAAAUAUAUUUAAGCAGAAUUCUGUUCCAGGACUUGUCUUACUACUUCGUGACUCCGUGAUGAAUGUUGGAUGAGAGGAUGUGAGUUGAGUAAGUCUCCGCUAUUCAAGGACAAGCUAGAAGGGCACUUGAUAUUUCUGGGUAAUGACCAGAAAUAAGAAGAGUGUGGGGUCGUGCCGUUAGCACUAACAUGGCGCUUACCUAGUGCUCGCGGUGCACUGUGGUCUUCAUGUGGAUUAGCUGACUUAGUCCCAGCAGCAGUACCAUAGUGCAGUUUUCUAUUGUUAGUUCCAUUUCACAGAUGAGGAAACUGGGGCCCAAAGAGUCUAGUAAAGAUGCAGAGCAGCCUGGCUCCAGAGCCCACCUUACACUCUGAUAAUGAAUUAAAGAUAAGUGUCCCCAGAGAUAGGGCUGAAAGGGGGUGCAGGGACGUGGCAGGUUGUUCAUUCCUCAUAAGGUUAAAAAAAAAAGCAUAAGCCAAAACCACGUUCCCUAUAACAGUAGAGUCUGUUUCUAAAGGAGCUGAGCAUUGAAGGUGUGCUGAGAUGUGCAGUUCUCUACCUGCUCAGCACUGCAGACAGCAGCAAACAGCAGCGAGAACCACAGGAAGAUUUCCGCCACCUCAUUGGGCUGGAGUAGCCUGUGACCCACGUGAACGUGACUCAGAGUAGUGAGUAUGCAGCACUCCUGUGCCUGUGUACAUCAUGGUUGGCCCUUAAUUCAAGCUUGGUUUCCGGUGCCUCUUACUUUCUUGAUAAUGUCCUUAGACACAUAUAGUGUUUCAGUUUUGAUGAAAUCCAAUUUAUCUAUUUUUUUGUUUUUGUCUUGAAUUUUGGUGUCGUAUCUAAGAGCCCAUUGCCAAGUCCAAAGGUCCUGGACGUUUACUCCUAUGUUUUCUUCUAAAAGUUUUAUAGUUUAGUUCUUACAUUUAGGUUUUUGAUCAAUUUUGAGUUAUUUUUGUAAGGGGAGAACUUCAUCCUUGAGUGUGGAAAUCCAGUUGUCCAGGAUCACCUACGGAGGAGAACAUUCAUCCCCCACUGAAUGAAAUCAGUUGACCAUAGAUGUUUUAGAUGAGGUUUCAUUUGUUUUCACAAAAUGAUCGUGUGUUUUUUUUUUCUCCUUCAUGCUAUUCAUUCGAUGUGUGACUGUGAUAGACUUUCUUACGUUGAGUCACCAUUAUAUUCUUGAACUAAGUCCCUCUUGGUCAUGAUGUGUAAUCCUUUUAAUAUCUUGUUGGAUGCAAUUUGCUAGUAUCUUGCUGAGGCUUUUGUAUCAAUAUUCAUAAGGAAUAUUGUCCUAUAAUUUUAGGACAAUAAUUUUAUUUUCCCAUGAUGUCUAUGUCUUGCUUUGGUAUUGGCCUAUGAGUUCACAAGUCCUCCCUUCUCUAAUUUCUUGUAAAAAUUUGAGAAGGGUUAGUAUGAGAAUUCACCAAUGGGCUACCUGGUCCUGGAAUUUGUUGGGAGGUUUUCCUUUUUAAAAAAACUUAACAUUAAAGUGAGAUAUUUGGUUUGUGGGGAGUCAGUGAGGGAACCUGAGUAGUUAAGAAUUAUGUAUAAUUUAAUUCAGGCCCAUACUACCUCAUAAUGAUGUAACAGUUUCUUAAUUUAUUUCCUGCGAUAGACUUUCCUAUAUUCUGGUUAUUCCAAAUAUUAUGGCAAUUAUGCUUUCUAAAUUAUUGCUUUUCCUUGUCACACAAUACUCAAAAAGUGUGAAUGUCUUCCUGUCGCUUGUAGAAGUAUUACUAAUUUUAAAAGCUUCAUGAAUUUUAAACUGAUAACAUUAAUUUAAAUUAAUAAUUUUAAAAGUGUAAAUAAUUGUAGAAUUAUUAAUAAUUUCAAAAAAUUUUAGCAUUCUACUCAAUCUUCCUUUUGACUCUUUCUCACCUAAGCUCUAAAUGAGCUGCUUCUCCUGCCCUUAUGGGAACUGUGUUCCAGGGAGACUGGUUCAUUCGUUCUCACUUCUGUAACUACUUCUUUCUGGUUAAACCUGAAAUAAGGAAGUGUUUAGGAGCAAAGCCCUACCAAUUAUAAGCUAUGAUCUGAGCAGUCUCAAGACUGCUCAAAAUAAAAUAUGUGUGCAUUUUUAAUUCAUAUUGGGCUUUUUAAAUAAAGAGGCUUUAAGUGGA